GUCAGCAGCCAUACCACCUGCAUUUCAGACUAGGUAAUCCAUCUGACGCUUAGCAGGUUUGAGCCUGGCCAGUACUUGCAUGGGAGACCAAUUUGGAAAGCUAGUUUGCUGCUGGAA
This 117-nucleotide ribosomal RNA is filed under the name Paramormyrops kingsleyae. The record is from RNAcentral. Lineage: Eukaryota; Metazoa; Chordata; Actinopteri; Osteoglossiformes; Mormyridae.